RNAcentral lists this ribosomal RNA (468 nucleotides) under uncultured bacterium. RNAcentral describes it as "partial 16S ribosomal RNA". It matches the Rfam family "Bacterial small subunit ribosomal RNA", at positions 28 to 507 of the family's 1533-position model. The record is from RNAcentral.
GACGAACGCUGGCGGCGUGCUUAACACAUGCAAGUCGAACGGAAAGGCCCUGCCUUUGUGGGGUGCUCGAGUGGCGAACGGGUGAGUAACACGUGAGUAACCUGCCCUUGACUGUGGGAUAACUUCAGGAAACUGGGGCUAAUACCGGAUAGGAGCUCCUGCUGCAUGGUGGGGGUUGGAAAGUUUCGGCGGUUGGGGUAGGACUCGCGGCUUAUCAGCUUGUUGGUGGGGUAGUGGCGUACCAAGGCUUUGACGGGUAGCCGGCCUGGGAGGGUGACCGGCCCCAGUGGGCCUGAGAAGGGACCAGGAGGGCAACGGGAGCCAGCGAUGGGAGAUUGUGCGAGAUAGGCGGCAGGCGGAUGGAGGGUCGCCGCGUGGGGGAUGACGGCUUUCGGGGUAGAAACCGUUUUCGCCUGUGACGAAGCGUGAGUGACGGUAACGUGUAAAGAAGCACCGGCUAACUACGUG